RNAcentral lists this non-coding RNA (30 nucleotides) under Rattus norvegicus (Norway rat). The record is from RNAcentral. Lineage: Eukaryota; Metazoa; Chordata; Mammalia; Rodentia; Muridae.
GUGGGACAUUUUAAAGAUUUAUAUUCUAUA